UUUUUUUUUUUUUUUUCUCCUUAGUUCUCAGCAAGUAUUGAUCUCAUUCUCUGUAUUGCAUUAAACAUCCCAAAAUAUUAUCAAUUGCACACUUAGCCCAGUUUGGGAGAACUAAGUGUGAGACUCAUUUAAAAAAGUCCAGUCAUAUCAGUUUUCACUUUUUGAUAAGCUAUUUUUAACCUUUCACAAUAAAGCAUGACAGGCACCAGAAAACAAGCUACUUUUGGCUACUUUUAAAUAAAAGAGCCUGCAUAGGUUACGUGUCAUUUUUUUAAACCAUGUGCCUGUUUGGCUUGUGUAUAACCACCAAAAAAAAAUAAACAGUUGAAAAGAAAAGGACACAACUCUGCUUCUGAGGUGAUGUAACAAAGAAUUAUCUUUAAUGUCCCUGUCCCAUAUUUUAUAGAAGUUUCUCUCUUGCAUACUGGAAUAAUAUAUAAUCUAGAUGAGAUUGGUAGGGCCAGAAAUCUUAAUUUAUUUAUUGCAUAAGCAUAAUGCCAACCACCUCCUGUUUUCAUUAUACCAAUCUAAUGCCAGCCAUUUCCUGUUUUCAUUAGACCAUUGUAAUGCUAGACUCCUACUGUUCUCAUUAGUGCAGGACUGUGUAAUGGCAACCACCUCAUGUUUUCAUUAUAACAGAACUGUAUGGUGCCAGCUGCCACUUAUUUUACUUUACAGAAGAGCAUUUGAAUAGUCCAUAUCUUUUUCAAGAGAACAUAUACAGAGAUGUCAAGGACCCUAGGGGUCUAAGGCCCCUGAGAAAAUGAUGGGAAACACUCUUCCUGACAACUUUGCUGCUGGAAGAAUAGCAGUGCUUAUACAGUAUGUACAGAGAAGUGGUUGAAGGCUGGGGUUAAACUGUUGUGGGACAGGUUUAAAUUCUAGGAACUGCUUUUGUGAUCCAUAAGCUAUCUGAUCUUCCUGAAGAAGAUGAAAAGGUGAUUGCAAUAGUUCAAGGUCUGGAUUAGAAUAACAGGGAAAUGCAAGUCAAAUUCCUGGCUCCAGCACACAUUGCGUGAGCAGACCAUAACCUAUAAAUUCUGUCACAUUACUUCAGUUUUGAUGGGUCUGGAGAUAAUAAGAUUUUCACUAUCUGAAAUAUUGUUUUGUUUUGCUUUGCUUCAUUUCUGUAAUACUUUUUCAAUAUGAAACAUUUCACUGCUUAUCAGUAGUGCUUUAAAAAGAAGAUGUAACUCCUUUGCUAGGGUCUUCAAAUGCUAUUGUGAUGAUAUUAAAUAGUACUAAGUACUGCCUGAUGGCACAAAAAUCUUCAAUUGAGACUUCUUAAAAUAUAGUUUGAAAGCUGAAAGGGUUCUGUCACUAAGGUGCUGCUAAGUUGUUCUUACACUGCAGAGCAUUAGGGCUUUACUUACUUUUCAUAGUAAGUAUCAGAAUAAAAUUUCCUCUAAUUAAAAAAAAUAUAUAUAGGAUGCUGUAAAAAUAUUUUUUCUGAAAAUCUUUUCUAUAUUAUUCUAAAAUGUUUAUAUUUGGAUGCUCAGGUUCCUGUUCAUAAUGAACAUAAUAUAGAUGUCAAAAAAGCCCCUCCAAAACAUCCCAGUGUCAUUGCUCUGUAAAAGCUAUGCAGCUUCUAUGUGGAUACCUUGUAACAUCACUGCAAAAACAUACCUGGUUUACAUAAGGGGACUGCAGCCUCAGUUCAAUAAGGAAUGAAUGAGCUGCAUAUUAGUCAUGAGGUAGAGCUACCACAUCUACUGGUAGACACACAUCUGCUGCCUCUAUUCUGAAGCCUUGGGGGCUUCAAGUGCUCGGUAUCACAACCAGAAAAAGCACCACAGUGAAGGCCAUUACUCUGUACCUGACCAAAAUUAUCACUUCUGCGCAGUGACUUUGAUUUUAAUUAUUUGUGUGAUGCCAGCUUGUCAUGUUUUAUCGGUUGUAUGUUUUAAUGAUUUAUAGCUUCCCUGUAGCUCAGGAGAGGAGGAGAAAAGCUCUGUAGACAUGUAUUAUGAAAAUAAUUUUUUUCUGUUACAAUAAAUACUGGUUGUGGUGGGUCGACCUUGGCUGCAGUCCAGGUGCCCACCAAACGGCCUAGCAGUCCCCUCUCCAUGAGGACAGGAGGAGAAAACAAGAUGCAAAAAACACUAAUAGGAAAAGAUAAGGGCAGUUUAAAAUAGCAAAAGCAAGACUGCAUGCAUUAGCAAAGGAAAACAAAAGAUUUAUUUUUUACUUCCCAUCAGCAGGUGAUGUCCAGUUCUUUUCUGGGAAGUAGGACUUCAGCGCAUGCAGCACUUGCUCCAGAAGACAAAUGUCAUAAAUAAUUAAUCCCUCCCACCUGUUCCUUUCUCUUAUCUUUCAUGUCUGAGAAGAUAUCAUAUAGACUACCCCUUUGGUCAUCUGUCCUGGCUAUAUCCUGUGCCAAGGUCUUUCCCAUCCCCAGAGUACUGUUGUGGGCAGGAGUGUGCAUAGGAUGUUGGGAAGGCAGCACUGAUGCUGUGCCAGCCCGGCUCAGCAGGGGCCAGAACACUGGUGUGUUACCAACACCUUUCCAGCUACCACUGCAGAGCACAGUGCUGUGAGGGCUGCUGUGGGGAAAAUGAAAUUAAUCUUAGCCAGACCAAAUACCCUGGCACUUACACUGAUUUGUCUGGGAGAAAACAGCUCUUCAAAAGUGUUUUUGUUCUGUUUCCAAUCUUGAUGGAAAAGUUGUGUUUUUAAGAAAAGAGUGUUCUUUGUCACUCUCAGAUUGCUGUAUUAUUAACAUCACUGAAUACAGUAAUUGAGAUAUGUGUAUAAGUGUUGCUAAAAUGAUUAAAAGCUCUGGAAAUCAUAACCUGUCAGUGUUCCCUGGGAAACAAAGACCUUUCCAUGUGUUAGGGGACUCUGUAAGGGAAUGCACUGAGUCACUUUUAAAAUGACAGCUGUCACCCUUAGGAUUUGAGCCUCAAAGGAAGUGCAAAAAUAUAAAGAAAUACAUAUAAACUGUCAAUCAAAGUAUCCUUAUUUUGUUAUUAUUUUGAUCACCUCACUCUGGGCAAGGUGUGAUAACUUGUAAUUUUUCUAUGAUCUCUAGUGUCUGGAUUAGGUCCCAGUCAAUAGGAAAGCAGUUAUGUUUAGGAAUGUUAUAGUUUGAUAAAGCACUAUAUCCCUGCAUAUGUCUUUGCACAUUUUCUGUCACCGUCUUCACAAGGAAUAAAAUUUUACAAGGAUAAUGGCAUGUGAUAGCAGCACAUUUGAAAAUUAUUUCUGAGUUUUGGAAACCCAAUAAAAUGGAAACUGAGUGAUGGAACUGAAGGAUGUGAGGGGAUUUGAACCCUUUUAGUUCACUUGCAAAGAUUGUAUACUCUACAAAUACCACUACACCUUCCCCUUUUAUAUUUAAGUUGUUUUAGUAAAUGUAAGUGGUUUGUCAUUUCUCUGCUUAUACCAUUUUUCCUGUUUCUGAUACGUUUUCUGAACUAAGGCAGGUGGAGUCAUAACAUUUUCUGUGAAAUAAAAUGCAAAUUCUGUUAUGUUAAUGGACCACUAAGUACUGAAUUAGAUUAAGUAGUGGUGGUAAAUCAGCAAUUAUACUGGUAUUUUUUUUUUCAUAGAAAGAUUUCAGCAGAAAUAAAAUUCAGUGGUAGUCACAACCAGAGGAGAAAGCCUAGGGCUGUUGAUGUGCUUUACUGAAUUUAGUGUACAUUUUACCACUAUUCGGAUGAAGUCUUUAAAAUUAAGGAUGCUGAGCAAAGUGCUUUGAGUCAGCUGGUAACACAGUAUAUUAAUUACAGCUCAUAAUAACUUCCAUUUUUACAUAAUUGUUGCAUGGUUGUACACAUUGUACCAAAUAAAAUCCUCAGUCUUGACUGGUGAUUGUGAUUAAUAUUUAUGCUGCUGUUAAAAAUGAGCAUGCUUUUAGCUUCACUGAUGCUGAAGAUUUUCUGGAUUAUUUCUAAAAUGCAAAAAAAAAAAUAAUAACUAAAGAAAUUCCCAAACUUAGGAAACAGGUGGUUCUUCAAAUAGAGCUCUGAUUUUUUAUCGUCUGCAAGAAAGCAUUAUCUGCUAACAAACACAGGCGUUGAACCAGGAUUGGUCGUUCUCCAGACCACCCUUCAAGGCUUGAAAGUGUCAACUAGCAUUUGCUAGUAUGCCUUAUAAACACUCAGGAAGAAGGAAAUAAAGUGAAUGAGGGGAGCUGGCACGCACUUACAAGAAGCUAUGGGAUCCAAGAUUUGGCAGCUGCACCUGGUGGCUCCUUGCAGUUGUGUGUUGUCACUGCCCAUGGAAGCUUGAAAUUUUUCCAGGCAGGAGGCAAUGUGAACAUCACCUUAGACUACAGGAAUUACUGGUUAUCAGCGGAGCUGUCUCAGGUUUACAUUCUUGAUCCCACAGUAAGCUUGGCAAACCUCCAUGAAAGCUUUUUGAACAAGAAGUGCUUGAAUCAGACGUCCUCCAAUUGUUUGUACUUCUCCUCCUGAUGCCAUAAUAUGAUGGGCCCCUGACAUUUCACCUCUGCUAAAGGGAUAAGAUGAAAUAGGAACUGGAAGUCUGCCUAAAGCAUAGUAUUCAUUUUCCUUCUCUGUCUUGAUUUGUACUGCCAGCCACACUAAUACUGCAGCUGCAAUAGUUUUACAAUUUAGGAGUGCACAGAAGGUUAUUAAUAAGUGCAGAAGUAGGAAUCUUUUAAAAGGGAUGAUUCACUUGGAAAUUAAAGGACUGACUGUGCUUGCUAUCAUUAUAGAGGUUUUUUUUUUUUUCUUUUAAAAAAGUGGGUGUUCUUUUCCUUUAGAAGGAUUGCUGUGUCUUACUUUGACAUAUCCAAAAAGAUGGACUAACAAAAUUGACCUUCUGUCCAUAUUGUAUACCUAAACGAUUCACCUAAACAGACUCUGCUAGGGUAAUGUUGGAGCACUGAGUGGCAGUGUGGCAGUGAGCUGGGAUAUACCAGGGAACUUGCUUCACUUACUCUGGAUGAUGGAGGUGCAAAAAAUUAUUAUGGAAGCAUAAUUACCAGCCUCUGGAGUCUCUCCCAGAAGAAGACAGCACAUAAGGAAUCUAGAGUGUGAACAGAACCCUUAUUGUGGUACUCGACACUAGUACUACAACCCUUAAAAUGAGGCAAAGCCACAGUGCUUUUAAGAAGCUUAUCUUGUGGUCAAAGAUAAAGGCUUAUUAACAGCUGCUAAUCUCUGUUCUAAAUCUCUUAUAAUACAACAGUACCAUAACAGUGUUAAAAUAGUUUCACAUGUAUUCUUCUCUACUGUAUUUACUAUAUUCACAUGGUAUUCUACAAAUCCUUAUUAAAUGAUAUAGGAAUGCUUAUAUUACUUUUGUUCUCAAUUUAAAAUGAGGCACAAGAGAAUACAGAAUCAUUCAUAUAGCCAAUGCAUCUUCAAGCACUGAGACUCAAAGGGUAUUCAGAGUAAAUAUAAUUUCUCAUCUGGUCUAAGAUGAGAUAAGUCCCUAACAUAUACUCAUAAUGAAAUACCACUACUUUGAACUGCAUUAUAAUUACAGGAUGUUAAAUGUAUUAGUUAUCCAGAAUACACAUAUCAGAUUUUUUUCUCAUAAUUUCAGUACAAAAAAUCCCAAAAUAAAUUAUUUUUCACUGAAGAUGAAAAGGCUAUAUGUUUAGUUAUCAAGAAAAUAUUCUUAUUUAGAGCUGAAUAGUUUAUUGCAAUACCCCUAAUGAGAUUCCCUAUGGAACCCACAAUAGUGAAUGAAGAAUUUCUUCGUAAAAAUAUAGUUUCAAUAUAUUUCAGCAGCUUUAAUCAAAUUUCAAAUUGAAGAAUUUAAAGAAAUAAACAGAAGUCUUAUCUACAAAUAUUAUGAUGAAUAUUUUUUAUUAUAUGGUAAGAAGUUUGAAAAUGAAUAAGAAAUCUACUUUAAAUUCUCUACAUUAGAUAAAUUUUCAGUGUAAAGAAUUUUAAAUUGACAUAUAAAAAGAAAGCAGUGGUGACUAAUAGGGUCACUUGUGGAAAUCAUUACAGCAUGCAGCACCAUAAUUGAUGUCUGUUGUAAAAGGCUUAAAAAAUAUGCAUGGAACAUUUUCCUAUAAGCAGUAAUAACAUAAAUAAAUGCCAUUUCCUGAUGGUCAGACACCUAUGGUGUUUGUAUUUCAAUGCUGAUGCCAGCCUAGUGAUCCAUUUUUAUUGCUCUCAAAUCAAACCAAAAAGUCUUCUGCGUAUGAUUGUCCUCAAAAAGACAGAAAAUGUAUGGGUAUUACAAAAUCUAAUCACAAAUUUGUUAAGGAGCAUUUCUUGUUGCAGACAGUUCUUUAUUGCUACAGCAAUCUAUUGAUUUCCAGAUACAACUUGAGUAUUUCUUUUAAUUUUUAAAACAUUAAGGAUUACUGGCCAACUGUUCCCCUAGUUCUCUGGUAGCAGUUCCAUAGGUACACUAUAAUAAAAUUACCAUAGUGUUAGUGUUCAAAGUAUUAAAUAUGUUUACAGAAAUGGAAUCUUUACUAUUCCUUUCCUCAGUAGGUCAAGAUCUGAAUCUGCUGUUCAAUCAUCUAUGUUUCAAGCUAGUCCUAUACUAUUAACUCUUACCAAGGUAAAUUUCAGAAUGUUUACAGACAUUUUGUAGUCUUGCUCAAAUCAAAGGUAUUAUCUCUAAUGUAAAGAAUCUAAAGGGGGAAACACCAUUUUCACAAAAUAACACAGGGCCCCACAUUUUACUAGUUUGUAUUUAGGAAAAAAAAAAAAAUCUUAAAAACAUUAAAAAUAAUUUGUGUCCCAGACACAGAAGAAUGUUUCCCAAAAUUUGAACUAAGCAUUUUUGUAAGCCAGACAUUAUCAGGAACCAUCAACAAUAAAUAAACCAUGAUGCUGUGCUCUUUUCCCUGAAUCAUAACAUAUGCAUUAUGGAGUAUACAUCUCAGAAAAUUCUUAGAUGGCUCAUUAAUUCCCUGAUCCAUUUCUUCAUGCACUACUGAAACUUAGGUGACCUUUCACAAAUCAAACUAUGUGCACAGCAGACAGUUGUCCUUUCUACUGGAGAAAUUUCAUUUUUAGGGAAACAUUACUAACUGAAGAAAUAAGCUUUCAGCUGCCUUCAUGUCUUAGACUCAAUAAAGGAUAAGGAUAGGGUAUUUAUCCCAUGAGUGAACACCCUGAAGCAGUAAUACGUGGUUGGCUUAAAGGCGAUCUAAGAAUCUCGUUUGACGGACUGGACACUUUCUAAAUGAGAAAUCAAUGACUCUGUAUUCUGGGUAAAGAAGCCAGGAUGGUUUAUGACUUGCUUUACAUAUACUGUGGAUCCAGCCAAGCUCUGAAUCACACACAGUUGAAGACAGUAAAAGUAACAUCCCAUGUCCAGUGAGGUCAUUAGCAGCAUAAGGUACAUUCUGUCAGGACUCUGCACAGACAGUGACUUGUUAGAUUUUAGAAAUAGCCUGUAGAAAGACAGAUCUAUGUAGUUGGAAAAGGGGAGAUAACAUUUUUGGGUUUCAGUGCCUAAGAUGGGCAGCUAACUAGAUGCAGGCUGGUUUUGUUUCUGGCAAGAUUUGCAGAAAAAAUGAAAUGGGUAAAAAGGUAAUUCUGUCUACAGGAAUAGCACACACCUUUAUAAUACC
Long non-coding RNA from Taeniopygia guttata (zebra finch), 7516 nucleotides. The record is from Ensembl. NCBI's taxonomy places the organism in Eukaryota, Metazoa, Chordata, Aves, Passeriformes, Estrildidae.